UAGAGGAAGUAAAAGUCGUAACAAGGUUUCCGUAGGUGAACCUGCGGAAGGAUCAUUAUCGAAUUAUAAGCGAGGGUUGUAGCUGGCCUCCCUUUCGAGGCAUGUGCACGCCUGAGCUCUUAAAUCCACAACACACCUGUGAACCCACCGUAGGCCUUCGGGCUUAUGUAUCAUAUACUCUGAAUGUGUCAUAGAAUGUUCAUGUUGCCUUAAAACGCAAUCAAAUACAACUUUCAACAACGGAUCUCUUGGCUCUCGCAUCGAUGAAGAACGCAGCGAAAUGCGAUAAGUAAUGUGAAUUGCAGAUUUUCAGUGAAUCAUCGAAUCUUUGAACGCACCUUGCGCUCCUUGGUAUUCCGAGGAGCAUGCCUGUUUGAGUGUCAUUAAAUCCUCAACCCCACCGAUUUGCUUCGGGGGGAUUGGACUUGGAGCGUGCUGGCGAAGGUCGGCUCCUCUUUAAAUGCAUCAGCGGAGAAGAAAGCUCGUCCCAGUGUGAUAAUCCUGUUGCGCUGUGGUGGGGUGAAAAUUCCGCUUCCAACCGUCCUCCGGGACAAGACAUCUCAAUUUGACCUCAAAUCAGGUAGGACUACCCGCUGAACUUAAGCAUAU
RNAcentral lists this ribosomal RNA (609 nucleotides) under Amphinema aff. byssoides UC2023101. RNAcentral's name for it is "eukaryotic LSU rRNA". The stretch from base 229 to 383 matches the Rfam family "5.8S ribosomal RNA". The record is from RNAcentral. Lineage: Eukaryota; Fungi; Basidiomycota; Agaricomycetes; Atheliales; Atheliaceae.